GAGCAGUAUCAGAAUGGUGCCGCAGCAACACAUGUAAACGUAUGAUGCAGUAGUUAAUCCCAAAUUAUUUUUCCGUCUGAUCUGGCCCUUGUGAGUGGUGUGCCUUUAUUUAUCGGGAAUAGCUUAUUAUGUAACUUUAUUAUUUUAGCCUGGAGAUGAGUAGAAUAUUUAUUGGGAAUAUCUUAUUAUAUAACUUUAUUUUAGCCCAG
This 209-nucleotide unclassified non-coding RNA is filed under the name Hevea brasiliensis (rubber tree). The record is from RNAcentral. Lineage: Eukaryota; Viridiplantae; Streptophyta; Magnoliopsida; Malpighiales; Euphorbiaceae.